Hippocampus zosterae (dwarf seahorse) is the source of this 1905-nucleotide long non-coding RNA. RefSeq lists it as uncharacterized. The record is from RefSeq and is a predicted model, not a curated record. The transcript has 3 exons. Lineage: Eukaryota; Metazoa; Chordata; Actinopteri; Syngnathiformes; Syngnathidae.
UGGCAUUAGGAUCAUGUUUGGCCACUUUUCAUGUUUCCACAGGGACAUUUAUUGCUGACGGACACAGCCACUCAGCAACAAAUGUCCAACUUCCUUCCUUCCUUCCUACUGAGCCACACUGAAUAGUUGAAAAGAUGCCCAAAGUUUGGCCUCUCUUGAAAAAAAAAAAGAGUUGAAUGGAUUUACUACAAAGCGGAUUGGGAGGAGUUUCAAGUCAGCAACAUGCGGGUGUGAACACGUGAAGAGACCUGCUGCUUGAGCCACACGUUUCCACGGGAUUUCCUUCACGUGCCUUUGUCGCCGGCUUGCAUCGCUUCGUCAGCGGGACACUGCCACCUGGAACUCUCCGUUCAGGAGUCAAAGAGCAAGGACGCGCUGUUUGCCGGUGGCGGCCGCAGAAGAGGCCCUAAUGAGAUGUCUAUCGCCUCCGUCUAGACUGGACUGCACCCCCACCCCCACCCCCACACACAGCCCACAAGCACCAGUGCACCACCAGGCAAUGUAUUACACACUGUUCCCUGUCUCCAGCCCAGGGAAUAGUAAGUGAGUUUGUGUGUGUGUGUGUGUGUGUGUGUGUGUGUGUGUGUGUGUGUGUGUGUGUGUGUGGCAUGACCAACGUGUCUGGCAGGCAGGGGAGCUGCACUUGGCAAUAGAUUUGGGCUUUUUUUUUUUUUUUUUUGCAUGCUUGUUUGUGCGCAUAUGUUGACAGUGUGUGUUGGAAAUGGCACGAUUUGGGGGCGGGCCGCCGGGUCGGCGACGCGAUGCGACACCGUGAUGGAUGCCUUGGCACGCACCCCUCAUCGUCCCUCAUCCCAAACUCUGAUUGCCUAUUCGGACUCCCCCCCCCCCCCCCCCCCCGGAAAAAAAUAGGAAGGAUAAUGCCCUCUAAAUCAAACUAUCCUUGUUAUCAAAGCCAAGCCUGCAGUCUCUUCCAGCUAGGCACUCCCACAGUAGCGCUCCACCAGAGGGACCAACACCAGGGGGGCCUUCGUGACUCCGCCGAGUCCUCUCCUUUGGCAAUGGCAACAUUUCUUUCGCACUUUUUUUUUUUUUUAGCUCUUAACUGUUCGAAUAUCCUCUCCAGGCUUUUUGUGGAUUUAGCAUGUUGGGCUUUAUCAAGACUCUUUAAUGCAUUUGCAAAACAUUUUAAUAACAUUUUAAAACAUGCCAUUUUGAUAGCUUGGCACCACAAACAACUGUUCGCAAAACAAUAUUCUUCAGUUUUUUCCUUGCUUAGCGCUCAUUCAAAAAAAGAAAGACAAAAUCGCAUUACAUGUUGUUUAGGAACUAGCUAGCGUCGGCUCAAUGCUAUGUCACAUGUUGCUGUUUAAGAGCUACAGUGGCUAGCUAGUGUUGGCUCAUCUUUUAUGCUAGCAAAGCAACAUUUUCCCGUGAGCUUUGCUAACCUCUGUUUGCAAAAUAGUUCUGCUUAGUGAUCAUAUUGAAAAGAAGACAAAAACUAUUACAUGGUUUUGUAAGAUCUAUGGUCACGAGCUAUGGGUCGUGACCGAAAGAACGAGAUCCCGGAUACAAGCGGCCGAAAUGAGUUUUCUCCGCAGGGUGUCCGGGCUCUCCCUUAGAGAUAAGGUGAGAAUCUCGGUCAUCCGGGAGGGGCACCGAGUCGAGCCGCUUCUCCUCCACAUCGAGAGGAGCCAGAUGAGGUGGCUUGGGCAUUCGGAUGCCUCCUGAACGCCUCCCUGGUGAGGUGUUCCGGGCAUGUCCCACCGGGAGGAGACCCCGAGGAAGACCCAGGACACGCUGGAGAGACUAUGUCACCCAGCUGGCCUGGGAACGCCUCGGGAUCCCCCGGGGAGAGCUGGAAGAAGUAGCUAGGGAGAGGGAAGUCUGGGCUUCCCUGCUAAAGCUGUUGCCCCCGCGACCCGGCCCCGGAUAAACGGUAGAAGA